RNAcentral lists this transfer RNA (66 nucleotides) under Oncylocotis sp. PJ-2015. Its description in RNAcentral is "tRNA-Lys". Lineage: Eukaryota; Metazoa; Arthropoda; Insecta; Hemiptera; Enicocephalidae. The record is from RNAcentral.
UAUUAAGUGGCUGAAAUUUUAAGCAAUGGUCUCUUAAACCAAUUUAUAGUAUAUUACUCUUAAUAA